UACGGAGGGUGCAAGCGUUGUCCGGAUUUAUUGGGUUUAAAGGGUGCGUAGGCGGCUUAUUAAGUCAGGGGUGAAAGACUGCAGCUCAACUGUAGCAGUGCCUUUGAUACUGAUGAGCUUGAGUACAGAUGAGGCUGGCGGAAUGGGCGGUGUAGCGGUGAAAUGCAUAGAUACCAUCCAGAACACCGAUUGCGAAGGCAGCCGGCUAAACUGUAACUGACGCUGAGGCACGAAAGCGUGGGGAUCGAACAGG
RNAcentral lists this ribosomal RNA (253 nucleotides) under uncultured bacterium. RNAcentral describes it as "partial 16S ribosomal RNA". It matches the Rfam family "Bacterial small subunit ribosomal RNA", at positions 524 to 776 of the family's 1533-position model. The record is from RNAcentral.